UACGAAGGGGGCUAGCGUUGUUCGGAAUUACUGGGCGUAAAGCGCGCGCAGGCGGUCUUCCAAGUCAGUGGUGAAAGCCUGGAGCUCAACUCCAGAACUGCCAUUGAAACUGUUAGACUUGAGUACGAGAGAGGUGAGUGGAAUUCCCAGUGUAGAGGUGAAAUUCGUAGAUAUUGGGAAGAACACCAGUGGCGAAGGCGGCUCACUGGCCCGAUACUGACGCUGAGGUGCGAAAGCGUGGGGAGCAAACAGG
RNAcentral lists this ribosomal RNA (253 nucleotides) under uncultured bacterium. Its description in RNAcentral is "partial 16S ribosomal RNA". It matches the Rfam family "Bacterial small subunit ribosomal RNA", at positions 524 to 776 of the family's 1533-position model. The record is from RNAcentral.